AAUUUCCUGGAAACAGGAGAGUGCUUUCAUUAGAGAGAACCUGGAGACAGGUGCUGCAUGGCUGUCGUCAGCUCGUGUCGUGAGAUGUUGGGUUAAGUCCCGCAACGAGCGCAACCCUUUGCCUUUUAGUUGCCAGCAGUUCGGCUGGGCACUCUAAAGGGACUGCCGGUGUCAAACCGGAGGAAGGUGGGGAUGACGUCAAGUCCUCAUGGCCUUUAUGACCAGGGCUACACACGUACUACAAUGGCCGGUACAAAGGGCAGCGACACAGCGAUGUGAAGCCAAUCCCGAAAAGCCGGUCUCAGUCCGGAUUGGAGUCUGCAACUCGACUCCAUGAAGUUGGAAUCGCUAGUAAUCGCGGAUCAGCACGCCGCGGUGAAUACGUUCCCGGGCCUU
Molecule: ribosomal RNA, 396 nt
Filed under: uncultured Desulfobulbus sp.
Lineage: Bacteria; Pseudomonadati; Thermodesulfobacteriota; Desulfobulbia; Desulfobulbales; Desulfobulbaceae
Description: bacterial SSU rRNA
Rfam family: Bacterial small subunit ribosomal RNA
Source: RNAcentral